ACUCAACAGAUAAUUCUUUAAAGAGGGUGAGUCUAAGUUGUAAAAGCGCGCCGUUCCCGUAAGGGACUACGGAUUCUUGAUCAGCUUGUUAGCCUUAAACUUGAUUUUAAGGAGUUU
This 117-nucleotide small RNA is filed under the name Zunongwangia sp. HGR-M22. Its description in RNAcentral is "6S RNA". It matches the Rfam family "6S-Flavo RNA". Lineage: Bacteria; Pseudomonadati; Bacteroidota; Flavobacteriia; Flavobacteriales; Flavobacteriaceae. The record is from RNAcentral.